GUAUGCCUACGGGGGGCAGCAGUGGGGAAUAUUGCACAAUGGGCGAAAGCCUGAUGCAGCAACGCCGCGUGAGCGAUGAAGGCCUUCGGGUCGUAAAGCUCUGUCCUCAAGGAAGAUAAUGACGGUACUUGAGGAGGAAGCCCCGGCUAACUACGUGCCAGCAGCCGCGGUAAUACGUAGGGGGCUAGCGUUAUCCGGAAUUACUGGGCGUAAAGGGUGCGGGGGUGGUUUCUUAAGUCAGAGGUGAAAGGCUACGGCUCAACCUUAGUAGGCCUUUGAAACUGGGGACCUUGAGUGCAGGAGAG
This 305-nucleotide ribosomal RNA is filed under the name uncultured bacterium. Its description in RNAcentral is "bacterial SSU rRNA". It matches the Rfam family "Bacterial small subunit ribosomal RNA", at positions 333 to 656 of the family's 1533-position model. The record is from RNAcentral.